GACGAACGCUGGCGGCGUGCUUAACACAUGCAAGUCGAACGGGCCUUGUCCCCUUUUUUUUUUGGGGGUGGGGGUAGUGGCGAACGGGUGAGUAACACGUGAGUAACCUGCCCCUCACUUCUGGAUAACCGCUUGAAAGGGUGGCUAAUACGGGGUGUUCUGGCCUGCUCGCAUGGGUGGGUUUGGAAAGAUUCGACCGGUUUUGGUGGUUUUGGUGGGGGAUGGGCUCGCGGCCUAUCAGCUUGUUGGUGGGGUGAUGGCCUGCCAAGCCUUUGACGGGUAGCCGGCCUGAGAGGGUGGGCGGUCACACUGGGACUGAGACACGGCCCAGACUCCUACGGGAGGCAGCAGUGGGGAAUAUUGCACCAUGGGCGCAAGCCUGAUGCAGCGACGCCGCGUGAGGGAUGGAGGCCUUCGGGUUGUGAACCUCUUUCGCCAGUGAAGAAGGUCCUGCUCUUUGUGGUGGGGUUGACGGUAGCUGGGUUAAUGAAGCGCCGGCUAACUACGUG
RNAcentral lists this ribosomal RNA (509 nucleotides) under uncultured bacterium. RNAcentral's name for it is "partial 16S ribosomal RNA". It matches the Rfam family "Bacterial small subunit ribosomal RNA", at positions 28 to 507 of the family's 1533-position model. The record is from RNAcentral.